CAUCUAAGUGUUGGGCUCCCUCAAGACUCAUGUCUGGGCUCUUUCCAUCGUCCUCUGUCUUCUCACCCUGGUGAUCACUAAUGACUCCAAUUCUAUGCCCCAGCCCUGCCCUCUCAAGGCUGGCAUGCUAACUACCCAGCUGUCAAGCUGCUUGGAUGCUUCUCACAGAGAAUUUGAACGUGACCUUUGUGACUUAGCCACAUCUCACUUUAGCCGGAUGUCACCGUGCCCGUGGCCAGGUCUCUGUCUCGUUCAUUUUGGAAUCAUCCCCAGCCUGGAGCAGCUGACCAGGGACGGCUGAAU
RNAcentral lists this long non-coding RNA (303 nucleotides) under Equus asinus (donkey). Its description in RNAcentral is "lncRNA (ENSEASG00005025693.1)". Lineage: Eukaryota; Metazoa; Chordata; Mammalia; Perissodactyla; Equidae. The record is from RNAcentral.